This 508-nucleotide ribosomal RNA is filed under the name uncultured bacterium. RNAcentral's name for it is "bacterial SSU rRNA". It matches the Rfam family "Bacterial small subunit ribosomal RNA", at positions 87 to 609 of the family's 1533-position model. The record is from RNAcentral.
GCAUCUUAGCGGCGGACGGGUGAGUAACGCGUGGGCAACCUGCCCUACAGAGGGGGAUAACAGUGCGAAAGCACUGCUAAUACCGCAUGACAUUCAUUUACUGCAUGGUAGAUGAAUCAAAGGAGAAAUCCGCUGUAGGAUGGGCCCGCGUCUGAUUAGCUAGUUGGUGAGGUAAAAGCUCACCAAGGCGACGAUCAGUAGCCGAUCUGAGAGGAUGAACGGCCACACUGGAACUGAGACACGGUCCAGACUCCUACGGGAGGCAGCAGUGGGGAAUAUUGCACAAUGGGCGAAAGCCUGAUGCAGCAACGCCGCGUGGAGGACGAAGGCCUUCGGGUUGUAAACUCCUUUGAUGAGGGACGAAUAAAUGACGGUACCUCAAAAACAAGCCACGGCUAACUACGUGCCAGCAGCCGCGGUAAUACGUAGGUGGCAAGCGUUGUCCGGAAUUAUUGGGCGUAAAGGGCGCGUAGGCGGUUUCCUAAGUCAGAUGUGAAAACCCCGGGCU